UAUCGCAAGGUAGAGUCUGGAGAAAGCUUAAAGCAAAUUCUUGACUCGACGGACAGAAAUCACAUAUUAAGGCUAUAUAGAUUGGAAGAGUUUGCAACACAAGUUGAAGUCAAAUACUACACAAAAUUUAUGCAGUAAAUGUGAUGAGUAGAUGAGAUGAAAGUA
RNAcentral lists this non-coding RNA (165 nucleotides) under human gut metagenome. The record is from RNAcentral.